RNA transcript from Pistacia vera, 4960 nucleotides. RefSeq lists it as uncharacterized. The record is from RefSeq and is a predicted model, not a curated record. Lineage: Eukaryota; Viridiplantae; Streptophyta; Magnoliopsida; Sapindales; Anacardiaceae. The transcript has 21 exons.
CAUUGUUCCUAUUAGCAUUUGGAAAACUCAAAACGCAGCAAGACGAGUUUCAAGAAUUGAGCGGCAGUAGCCAUGGCCGAUGAUCAUAGUAAAUGGCGGCUACACACAAGCCAAUACCUUGGAGAAAUCUCUGCACUCUGUUUUCUUCACCUUCCUUCUCACCUCUCUUCUCUUCCUUAUCUCCUCGCUGGUUCCGGUUCGCAAGUGCUGCUUUUUGACUUAGAAGCGGGACAAUUGGUGAGGUCUUUCCAAGUUUUUGAAGGAAUUCGUGUGCAUGGAAUUACUUGUAAUUUCGUUAAUUGCGCUGAAGGAUCAUCGUCUGCUACCGUUGCUUUCAGAGUUGCACUUUUUGGUGAAAAGAAAGUCAAAUUAUUUAACUUCAACUUUGAAUUUAAAUUUCAAAAUCAAUCAGAUUUUAUUGUGGAUUUGAGUUUAGCUCAAGCGUUGCCGAGGUUGAGUCAUUGGGUUUUGGACGUUUCUUUCUUGAAGGGCCCUGAGGGUGGCCAUUGUCUUGCCAUAGGAUGUAGCGACAACUCAGUACGUGUCUGGCACAUUUCUAACUCAAGUGUCAUUCUUGAAGUUCAUUCUCCGGAGAUAUGUCUUCUGUAUUCUAUGAGAUUAUGCGGUGAUACCCUUGAUACUCUCCGCAUUGCAUCUGGUACUAUUUAUAAUGAGAUUAUUGUUUGGAAAGUGGAAUCUCUAUAUGUUGCUUCUCUUUUAACAAAUCUGGAGGAAGACCGCUCAAAUGUGAGUUCACUCUCCAAAUAUGUAAAGCUUCAUCAUCAGCAAUAUAAAGCAGUUAACAUAUUUAGACUCAUAGGACAUGAAGGUUCCAUCUUUCGCAUAGAAUGGUCUUCCGAUGGUUCAAAACUGGUUUCUGUCUCUGAUGAUCGGAGUGCUCGCAUCUGGGCAGUUCAUGCUAAACAGAAAGAUUCUGAUAGCAUAGAAGAGGAGGUUGUCAGCUCUGUAUUAUAUGGUCAUAAUGCUCGAGUUUGGGACUGCAGUAUUACUGAUUCUUUCAUUAUCACUGCUGGCGAGGAUUGUACAUGUCGUGUGUGGGGAUCAGAUGGUAAACAGCUUAAGAUGAUUAAGGAGCAUAUAGGAAGAGGCAUAUGGCGUUGUUUAUAUGAUCCAAUCUCUUCUCUUCUUGUCACUGCUGGAUUUGAUUCUGCAAUCAAAAUGCAUCAGCUACAUGCUUCAUUGCCUGGAAGCUUGGAGGCAUAUCCUGAGGCAAAAGAGUUUGAUGACAGAUCUGAUAUAUUCAGUUUGCGGAUCCCAAAUUUAUCAGAGCAUAUUCAGCUUAUGGACAGCAAAAGUGAAUAUGUACGUUGCUUGCGUUUCGCUCGUGAUGACACCCUUUAUGUUGCCACAAAUCAUGGUUAUUUGUACCAUGCCAAAUUAUCUGAUCAGGGGAAUGUGAACUGGACUAAUCUUGUCCAAGUCAGUGAAGGGGUGCCGAUUAUUUGUAUGGAUUUGUUGUCAAAAAAUAUGCCAGGGGAUGCCUGUGCCAUUGAUGAUUGGGUUUCUGUUGGAGAUGGGAAAGGGAAAAUGACAGUUGUUAAAGUUGUAGGUGACUUCUGUACUCCUCGAUUAGAUGUCACCUUUACAUGGUCAGCUGGAAUGGAGAGACAGCUCUUGGGAACCUACUGGUGUAAGUCAUUGGGAUAUAGGUUUGUUUUCACUGCUGAUCCUAGAGGAAUAUUGAAGCUUUGGCAGUUAAGUGAUCUGUUGUCAUCUGCUUGUCAAAAAUCUUCCACAACUUACAAUAUCUCUCUUAUUGCGGAAUUUUCCUCAUGUUUUGGAUUACGGAUAAUGUGUUUGGAUGCAUUGUUUGAGGAUGAGGUGCUGGUAUGUGGGGAUCUACGUGGUAAUCUGGUUUUAUUCCCUUUGUCAAGGGACCUGUUGCUUGGCACAUCUGCUGCAUCAGAAGUGAAGAUAUCUCCUCUAAGUUAUUUUAAAGGAGCUCAUGGGAUAUCAACUGUGUCAAACAUUUCAGUUGCUAGACUAAGUUCAAAUCAAAUUGAAAUUCGCUCGACUGGAGGAGAUGGCUGCAUAUGCUAUUUGCAAUAUGACAGGGAUCGUGAAAAUUUGGAAUUUAUAGGGAUGAAGCAAGUGAAAGAGCUAAGUUUGAUUCAAUCCGUCUCUGCGGGUAACAACUCUGUUGAUGAUCUGGCGAGCUGCAACUAUGCAGCUGGUUUUGCAUCAGCAGAUUUCAUAAUAUGGAACUUAAUAACUGAGGCGAAGGUUCUGCAAAUUCCAUGUGGUGGAUGGCGGCGUCCUCAUUCUUAUCUUCUUGGUGAUGUACCAGAGAUAAGGAACUGCUUUGCCUAUGUCAAGGAUGAAGUUAUCCAUAUUCGUAGACGCUGGACGCUGGAAAGUGAUAGGAAGAUGUUUCCUCAGAAUUUGCAUAUGCAAUUUCAUGGGAGAGAAAUGCAUACGUUGUGCUUUGUCUCUGAAAAUUCUCAAGUUGGAGCCAAUGUGGAGGAGAAUCCUUUUGACAGAUCUAGUUGGAUUGCCACUGGCUGCGAAGAUGGAACUGUAAGGCUGACUAGGUAUUCUUCUGGAGUUGAUAAUUGGUCUGCAUCUAAAUUGCUUGGGGAGCAUGUUGGUGGAUCGGCUGUCAGAUCCAUAUGCUCUGUGUCAGAAAUACAUCUAAUUUCUUCUGAUGUGAAGAACGCAUCUGAUGAUAUAAAUGGACAAAAAAGUGCAGCAGAGGAUGAAGAAAAGCUUUUCUUACUGAUAUCAGUUGGUGCUAAGCGGGUUUUAACUUCUUGGCUGCUAAGAAAUAGGAGGAUGGACAAUGUGGAAGAAACACCUGUUGGACAAAAACAUGAUAGAAGUAGAAAUGACUACAAACCUUCACUAGGAGCAUCCUCAACUUUGUCAUUCCAGUGGCUUUCCACUGACAUGCCAACCAAGAAUUCCAGUACUCAUGGAAAAUCAAAAGACGUUCAGAAACUGGUUGGCAUUACCAAAAAUGUUACUAAUAUGAAUACUGAUGCAAAUACUGGAUCAAGUUUUCCAGAAGGUGGGGAGACAGAAUCAAAAACGUAUCUUGGGGAUAAAUAUGAAGAUGACUGGAGAUACCUGGCCGUCACUGCGUUUCUGGUUAAAUGUCCUGGGUCCAGGUCAACUGUCUGUUUUGUUGUUGUCGCCUGUUCAGAUGCCACACUUUCAUUACGGGCCCUCAUUUUACCACACCGAUUAUGGUUUGAUGUUGCAUUGUUGGUUCCUCUGUCAUCACCGGUAUUGACAUUACGGCAUGUAAUCAUACCUAUACAUCAUGCUUCUAAGGAGGAUUUUCAAAUUGGAUCUGUAUAUUAUGUGAUUAGUGGGGCCACUGAUGGAAGCACUGCCUUCUGGGAUCUGACUGAGAGUGUUGAAGCUUUUGUGCGGCGAGUUUCAACUCUUCAGAUUGAUAAGUUCAUUGAUUGUCAGAAACGACCAAGGACUGGAAGGGGAAGUCAGGGUGGACGAUGGUGGAGAACUUUAAGCAGUACCAAGCCUAAGAAAAAGCCAGGCUGUAAUUCAAAUACUGUGCAAUCUGGAGAGGGAGAUUAUUGUGAUACACUAAAUCAUGCCACAUGCAGUGUGUCAACAAAAUCAAACGAGACGGAAAAGGGCACUGUCAAAGCUUUGCAUAAUGCUAUCUCUGAGCGAGAGUUGAACCCUGUUGAUCCUGCUUCUGAAAUAUGUGAAAUUCGGCCUAUACAUGUUAUGAGUAAUAUUCACCAAUCCGGUGUCAAUUGUCUCCAUGUUUCAGAGAUGAAAAACUGUCGAACAAGUGAUUGUGAUUUUCAGUUCUGUGUAGUAAGUGGAGGUGAUGAUCAAGCUAUUCAUUGUCUUAAAUUUGAUUUGUCUCUGCUAUCUACUGGUUUGGAUUCCAAGAUUAUUGCACCAGAAGUUGUAAAUUCGAUCACUGAAUCCGAAAAUGUAAACAUAAUUUAUUAUGGUCAAAAGCUGAACAAGAGUUAUAGGAUCAGAUUUUUUAAUAAUUACAGAGUUCCCUCUGCGCAUGGCUCCGCUAUAAAAGGAAUUUGGACAGAUGGGGCCUGGGUGUUCUCUACCGGUCUUGAUCAACGAGUCAGGUUCUGGCUUCUCGAGGAGCAAGAUAAACUGAUCGAGCAUGGUCAUUUAAUUGUUUGUGUGCCAGAGCCAGAAGCACUGGAUGCUAGAGCUUGUGGCAGAAACCGAUAUCAGAUUGCUGUAGCUGGAAGAGGAAUGCAAAUAGUUGAGUUCUCUGCAUCUCAUGCUGUGAAUGUGUGACAAUAAAGUGGCUUCUGGUGAUUGUGAUUUCAAUCCAUACUCAAGGUGAUGAGGGAGCCAAUUAUUUCAGCAUAGCCAGGGUCGGCAAGAUGAUCAGCAAGGUUCUCCAGAGAUUCCUUUCCAGUUACAAUAGCCUGCACAAAGAACCCAAACAUAGAGAAGAUGGCAAGCCGCCCAUUCUUAAUUUCCUUAACCUUGAGCUCAGCAAAUGCCUUGUGAUCUUCAGCUAGUCCCGAGGGGUCAAAGCUGCCACCUGGGUAGAUGGGGUCAGUUACCUCCCCAAGCGGUCCACCAGCAACACGGUAUCCUUCAACAGCACCCAUGAGGAUAACCUGGGUGGCCCAGAUUGCUAAAAUGCUCUGAGCAUGGAUCAGACUUGGUUUUCAAGAUAGUCAAGACUCAAGACGAUCUUCACUGAAGAUUUGAGCACCGGCCUUGAACCAUACUGCCGCUUCAAAUUUGACUCCAUUUCUGGAGAGGAGUUCUGGAAAGACACAUCCCAAAGCCCCAGUCAUUGCCCACCUGGAAUGGAUGACUUCAAGUUCUCGGUUUUUGGCAAAGGUUCCAGGAUCUGCUGACAGCCUGGCUGUGUCCCACUUGUAAUCACCUGGGAAUUGACCAGUUAGGUAAGAUGGGGCCUCUCCACAGAAUGGUCCAAGGUACUUGACACGGUCAGGACCAUACCAGGGGCUUC